This 249-nucleotide unclassified non-coding RNA is filed under the name uncultured Sphingomonadaceae bacterium. RNAcentral describes it as "contains 16S-23S intergenic spacer region". The record is from RNAcentral. Lineage: Bacteria; Pseudomonadati; Pseudomonadota; Alphaproteobacteria; Sphingomonadales; Sphingomonadaceae.
UCCGGUUUGUCACCGGCAGUCUCCUAUGAGUCUCCUCUCCCCGCGACCAGGAUGUCAAAGGCUGGUAAGGUUCUGCGCGUUGCUUCGAAUUAAACCACAUGCUCCACCGCUUGUGCAGGCCCCCGUCAAUUCCUUUGAGUUUUAAUCUUGCGACCGUACUCCCCAGGCGGAUAACUUAAUGCGUUAGCUGCGCCACCCAAGCACCAUGUGCCCGGACAGCUAGUUAUCAUCGUUUACGGCGUGGACUAC